RNAcentral lists this ribosomal RNA (465 nucleotides) under uncultured bacterium. RNAcentral describes it as "partial 16S ribosomal RNA". It matches the Rfam family "Bacterial small subunit ribosomal RNA", at positions 28 to 507 of the family's 1533-position model. The record is from RNAcentral.
GACGAACGCUGGCGGCGUGCUUAACACAUGCAAGUCGAACGGAAAGGCCCUGCUUGCAGGGUACUCGAGUGGCGAACGGGUGAGUAACACGUGGGUGAUCUGCCCUGCACUUCGGGAUAAGCCUGGGAAACUGGGUCUAAUACCGGAUAGGAGCCAUUUUUAGUGUGAUGGUUGGAAAGUUUUUUCGGUGUAGGAUGAGCUCGCGGCCUAUCAGCUUGUUGGUGGGGUAAUGGCCUACCAAGGCGGCGACGGGUAGCCGGCCUGAGAGGGUGGACGGCCACACUGGGACUGAGGUACGGCCCAGACUCCGACGGGAGGCAGCUGUGGGGAAUACUGACCAAUGGGCGCAAGCCUGAUGCAGCGACGCCGCGUGGGGGAUGACGGCCUUCGGGUUGUAAAAUCCUUUCGCUAGGGACGAAGCUUUUUGUGACGGUACCUAGAUAAGAAGCACCGGCUAACUACGUG